AGUAACACGUAAACAACCUGCCUUCAGGAUGGGGACAACAGACGGAAACGACUGCUAAUACCGAAUAAGUUCCAAGAGCCGCAUGGCCCAUGGAAGAAAAGGUGGCCUCUACCUGUAAGCUAUCGCCUGAAGAGGGGUUUGCGUCUGAUUAGCUGGUUGGAGGGGUAACGGCCCACCAAGGCGACGAUCAGUAGCCGACCUGAGAGGGUGACCGGCCACAUUGGGACUGAGACACGGCCCAA
RNAcentral lists this ribosomal RNA (242 nucleotides) under uncultured bacterium. RNAcentral's name for it is "partial 16S ribosomal RNA". It matches the Rfam family "Bacterial small subunit ribosomal RNA", at positions 109 to 334 of the family's 1533-position model. The record is from RNAcentral.